AGGACGAACGCUGGCGGCGUGCUUAACACAUGCAAGUGGUGCGACGAACCGGGGCUUGCCCCGGGGCCAAGCCGCGAACGGGUGAGUAACACGUGAGUAAUCUGCCCCGAUGACCGGGACAACCCGAGGAAACUCGGGCUAAUACCGGAUGUGGUGCACAGAUCUAAGUUUGUGUACUAAAGGAAGCUUCGGCCUCCGCAUUGGGAGGAGCUCGCGGCCCAUUAGCCUGUUGGUGGGGUAACGGCCUACCAAGGCAACGAUGGGUAGCUGGUCUGAGAGGACGAUCAGCCACACUGGGACUGAGACACGGUCCAGACUCCUACGGGAGGCAGCAGUGGGGAAUCUUGCACAAUGGGCGAAAGCCUGAUGCAGCGACGCCGCGUGGGGGAUGAAGCUUUUCGGAGUGUAAACCCCUUUCGACCCGGACGAAUGCCCCGCAACGGGGACUGACGGUACGGGUAUAAGAAGCCCCGGCUAACUACGUGCCAGCAGCCGC
This 496-nucleotide ribosomal RNA is filed under the name uncultured bacterium. RNAcentral describes it as "SSU rRNA". It matches the Rfam family "Bacterial small subunit ribosomal RNA", at positions 26 to 518 of the family's 1533-position model. The record is from RNAcentral.